This 467-nucleotide ribosomal RNA is filed under the name uncultured bacterium. Its description in RNAcentral is "partial 16S ribosomal RNA". It matches the Rfam family "Bacterial small subunit ribosomal RNA", at positions 28 to 506 of the family's 1533-position model. The record is from RNAcentral.
GACGAACGCUGGCGGCGUGCUUAACACAUGCAAGUCGAACGGAAAGGCCCUGCUUUUGUGGGGUGCUCGAGUGGCGAACGGGUGAGUAACACGUGAGUAACCUGCCCUUGACUUUGGGAUAACUUCAGGAAACUGGGGCUAAUACCGGAUAGGAGCUCCUGCUGCAUGGUGGGGGUUGGAAAGUUUCGGCGGUUGGGGAUGGACUCGCGGCUUAUCAGCUUGUUGGUGGGGCAGUGGCUUACCAAGGCUUUGACGGGUAGCCGGCCUGAGGGGGUGACCGGCCCCCUGGGGCUGGAGAUGCCGCCGAAACCACAAGGGGGGGAGCCGGGGGGGAAUGUGACAAAAGGGGCCAGGGCUUCAUGCACCCCCCCCCCGGGCGGAAGGACGCCCUCCGGGUUUUAAACCCCUUACACCUGUGAGCAAAGGGGGUUGGAGGAAGUGGGUAAAAAAGCACCGCCAAGCUUCGG